Amphiprion ocellaris (clown anemonefish) is the source of this 2341-nucleotide RNA transcript. RefSeq lists it as uncharacterized. The transcript has 2 exons. NCBI's taxonomy places the organism in Eukaryota, Metazoa, Chordata, Actinopteri, Pomacentridae. The record is from RefSeq and is a predicted model, not a curated record.
CCACAACCUCCCGUCCACCACUCGCCCCACUCUUCGCUCCCACUACACUCAUCAUUGGUGACAGUAUCAUGAGAGGCAUCAGGUUCUUCAACGCUAUCACACUGUCAUUCCCUGGUGCUACAGCUGCAGAUAUCGCUGUCAAAAUUCCUUCCCUUCUCCGCUCACUCCCCUCCUCUGUACACCGCAUUAUCCUUCACGUCGGCUGCAAUGACACAGCGCGCCCCCAGUCUGAGCAGAUAAAACCUGAUUUUCAAAAUCUGAUGGACUUACUGAAAGACUGCGGAAAGUCUAUUUUUAUUAGCGGGCCCCUACCAACGGUAAACAACUCUGAGCGCUUCAGCAGACUGCUCAGCCUGAACACCUGGAUUAGCUCGUUCUGCCGUGCCAGGAGAAUUAACUUUAUUGACAAUUUUAACUGUUUCUGGAACAGGCCAGAAUAUUUUAACAGUGAUGGCAUUCAUCCAAACAGGUCCGGCAGAUCACUUUUAAUCUCAAAUAUCCAAUACACCGUCCACACUUCAGACUGACUAGUGCCAGUGUUUACAUCCAUCUCUUCUUCACGCUCCACUGAACCGCCUCCCAGCUACAGCGCACCCCUCUGUCCCCACCUGGAACUCCCCCCAUCUUCCCCUCCAGCACACCCACUGCCUCCCCCCUCUGGCUCCCCCUGCCCGUCACCCCCUCUCUACCAGAAUUCAACAAGUUGCCAAAUCCCCACCAUCAUCAGCUUCAGACAACCUCGGCAGCCUUCCCUCAGAAACUGCCAUUUUGCUAACCUUUGCCCACUUCCACGGACCUCACAGCCUUGUCCCCAGAAGCCCUCCCCUAAUCACACAUCCACACUUCACCUGAACUUUGCCCUCUUCAACACCCGCUCCGUCACCAGCAAAGGCCCCAUUCUACAAUUAUUCAUCCUGGACAAUAAACUGCACUUCCUCUGUCUAACUGAAACAUGGCACAAACCACUGGACUUCUACCCACUCAACCAAGCCACUCCCUCUGGAUACACGUACCUCAACUCACCCCGCCCAGAAGGUCGAGGAGGCGGCAUCGCAGUCAUCCACAAACAGGUCUUCACAACCAUCCCACUUUCCAUCCCUGCCUCCCCCUCCUUUGAACACCUUGUUUUUAAAUUACCCGGUCCCACCCCAAUGGCCACUGCUAUCAUUUACCGGCCACCUAAACCAAACCCCUCAUUUCUCCCUGACUUUUCCCACUUUGCCACCCAGCUAUCAGCUACAUCUCCCUCAGUCCUCAUCCUCGGGGACUUCAACUUUCACAUGGACAACCUUCACAGCAAAUCUGCCUCUGUCUUCCUAGACCUCCUACAAUCACUCAACCUCACCCAGCAUGUCAAUUUCCCCACCCACAACCAUGGACCCAUCCUCGAUCUGGUCUGCUCCUCUGGUCUCACAGUCUUAAAUAUCUCCAGCUGUCAUCUCUGACCACCUAGCAAUAACUAUGGACAUCAGCCUUCCCACCCCUCUGCCCAAGGAAAAACGGACAGUCUUUUUUAGAAACACCAAAUCACUCUCCCCCUCUGUAUUCUCCGCCUCACUGACCACUGCAUUGUCCGUCUCCCCCCCCAUCAACCGAAAACCCCACUGACCUCAUCAACCACUACAGUGCUCAUGAAAGACGUCAAACUACAGUGGCAUCUCCUCGUGUUUCUGACCGAACACAUUGCAGUGGAACAGCACAACAACCAUCCUAACAUUGGAUAGUGAGAAGAUCCUGAAAUCACUAUAUCACUCUUUUCCUUCUUUAACCUGAAGGAAGCGGCAGCUGCAAUUCCUGUUGGAGGGGCGUGGCCGCAGGGCAGGACUGAGUCCAGAGGAGGUGCGAGAUAAUGGGAAGCUUCUGGGUGAAGGCCUGAGCAGAGCGUUGUUUGACUACCCAAGCAGAGACUGCAGUGCAGAGAGCCCUGAGGUUACUACGGAGGGCACUGUGGAGUCAUCAGAGUGUGCUGCCAUGACAGAACAGUACCUCCAGGAGUUGGUUCAAAGAGCAUCAGACAUCAAUCUGAAGCACGAGGCUUUACACAAGCUCUGGCCCUCCAUGUUUGCAGAGACUCCACAUCUGCCUGGACCCCAUCCCCACUGCCCUCCUCAAAAACUGCCUCCCUGUUAUCUCCCCCCUCAUCUCUAACAUCAUCAACACUUCCCUCAGUACUGGCUGUGUCCCCCCACCCCUCAAGCUCGCCUCUGUCUCCCCCAUCCUCAAAAAACCUGGUUUGGAUCCAACCUUCCCUCACAACUUCCGGCCCAUCUCCAACCUCCCGUUCAUAUCCAAAACAUUAGAACGUGUUGUCGCUGCCCAGUCCAAAGCACUCAAUAAACUU